RNAcentral lists this ribosomal RNA (2089 nucleotides) under Triticum aestivum (bread wheat). RNAcentral describes it as "partial small subunit ribosomal RNA". The record is from RNAcentral. Lineage: Eukaryota; Viridiplantae; Streptophyta; Magnoliopsida; Poales; Poaceae.
UACGAGAUGAUAGCGUCCGCUCGGUGCCGUCAACUGGGCUCCGCGGCCACCGGCCGGCCGAAGCGGUCUACGGCGUCGUCUCCUUUUUUCCCGCUGGCGAAAAGGUUUUCGCUUGGGGCCCGAAGUGUGGGGGUUGGGCGUGCGGCGCCAGGCGCCGCAUGAGAUGAGAUGGUCAGGUGGUAUGAGGCAGGGUCCCCGUCGGACCAUUAAUGCGGUGGCGCCGCCUCUCUCUUUCCCUCCCCUGACUGACUGAUAAAGAAAAUGGGAGCGGUGCUGACAUGUGCCCGCCGGUACCGUCUUCGUCCCCGCUUCAAAGAGGGGGUAAACCGGCGGCCAGAGGCGGAUAUAUAUGGGGCGGGCGUGCGCGGAGGAAGGGACCGGUCUGGCUCGACGAGAAGGAGGAGGUCAGGUCUGCACCGCCAAACUGAAAGACUGGAGCCUUGGCUAGCUUCCGCGGAGGGCACCCCUUUUAGGGGCCUGCUAAGAACCUCUUCUUUGGCGCCUAAGUCCCGGCCGCCUCCUCUCGCGCGGGGCGGCAAUGAUCCUAAACACGGGGGCGAGAGCGAGGCUAGCUCCUCACGUUACUUCCGUGGUAGCGAAGAACAAGUCACAAAGGGACCGAACGAAGGUUCGUUCCGGUGAUCAACACACGGCUAAUAUAGUCUCUCCCUAGACGUAGAUGGUAGUGGUCGACAACUUGAUUAGGGAAGUUUCUCACGAGUAGGAAUGUUUAUACGACCUCUCUUCCAGCUACAGGUUCCAGAACUACAAAAGUUCCCCUUCCAGUCACAUCGUCUAUACUAUCGGAAAAGGGGAAGACUUCAUCGUAGUAGUUUCGUACUACCAUCAGAGUUUAUAACCCUCUCAAGGUAGUGAUAACACUUAUAAUAAUUCUUACUCUAGGCACUACCCGUCGACUCGAAGUCCCCGUUCGCUCAAGAUCUCGAACCUACACCUAGACCGGAACGACCCUAAAAACGGACGAACUUCCCACGUAGAUAUCAAGUGAAGGUCCUGUGUUUACGUCUUUGGUAUUCUACGUCUUGUUACGGGUUACACGAACGCUUAGAACUCGUCCGAGCCCUGUCCGUCUUGUCUGGUAGUCUCUCGGGCCAAUGUGGUAGGUCUGUCAACAAUCGAGGGCAACAGGUAAAGAUACGGCCCCUCACCCUACUCGAGGGGUGUUAAGAGAGUCAACACGUAGGUGGACGUGUUGGUUGUUUGGAAUCGAAGAGACUCCUACUAAAAUACCUACCGACGUCAUCGGUACUGCCUUCGUCAUAUCAACCAGUCCUGGGGUCCGCUAGCUCCUUCGAAAGACCGUCGGCACGUACCCUCUCCCGGUCGCUCUGGCUGGGUCGUCUACCUCCCAUGCUACAUUAAAACUAAAGACUCUAGGGAUUACGCCACUUGAGAGAUUCCUUCGAGAUACGGGAAUAGUGAUUCACGGAUGCGGGAGGAAUACCUCAGAACAUACACCGAAGUUUCUUCUUGUACCAACCAAGUUCGCCCCCGCGUUCCGUCGAAUUUUCAAACUACCUCCUCCUUCCACAGGAACCACCAGUGAAGAACUGACUCUAUAGACUGGCCCUCUAUACCUUCAAGAAAAAGUUCAUUUGGCCGUUUACAACCCUGACUUUUUCUACUAGGGCCGGUACCGGAGCAUAUGUUUUUCUUAAGUAAACAGAUGAGCGUCGCGACAUGUAUGGCGCUUCGAAUCAAGCUAAUUAAGAAACCACUAUCCAAGUUCAUACCCGGAGUCAACAAUUUGGACGUUUACACAACCGUAAAAUUGGGAAGACAUCUAGAGGAUAGAGGAUCCACUGACAUAACUCGAAACGUAUGGCUUAGAUACCACGACCGUAUAGUGUGGUGCGAUAGUCGUUAUACAUGUUUACCUUUACCAAUGACAUGAACGAACAGCCAGAAUGAACUUAGCACAGAACGACUUUAGACCAUCUCGACCAGCACAGAAACAAAACUCUCGAACAAGAAAGAAAUUCCUACUUUAUAAAAUAAUAUGAUCAUCAAGUCUAAAUUCCUUCGUGUCGGAGUUGUUUUCUGAACAGUACGCGUACGUAUUAAUUCG